CAGAAUUCUCACCUUGUUUUCUGGUGUGAAAUUAUGCUUGUCUUAACAUUUAUCUGCCUAUUCAUCCCGCUGCUUUAAAUAGAUAUAUUCAUGUAAAUUUAUGUAAAUUAUGAUAAUAUAAACUCUUCACGUCACCAAGAAUAAAUUACAUCUCCUCAAUCAGCAUCUAUUUCAGAGUAUUCCCUCAGUGAUACCUGCUGGGAAGCAACACACUCUGAUUGGCCUGUUUGGCGAACGCCCCGCCCCCCUCGAGCCACUCUGCGUUCUGAUUCGUCUGCCUGUUUAUCUCCACAGCUCAGUGUGGGAGUCGUGUUUUAAUUAGAGAACUGGGGAAAAGAGCUGUGAACAUGGCCGGCGCUGACCGGGCUCUUGGCAGAACGCCGGCAGGAAACUGAAUGGUCUCGCACUUAGCCAGUGAGUCACGCGGGACCGUCUCUCGCUCCCUUACAAGAGGCCUUGGAGUGGUUGCUGAGAGGUCCUUUAAGACCGUAGCCUUCGAUACAGUCGUGAAACACGCAGAGGAGUGAGACUCAGAAGUUCAGGGGCCACUUGAGCACCGGCCGUUGCGCCUGAGGAGGAUGCCAUGGAGACGCUGUCAUCGGGUGGGGGUCCCGGUGUGGUCAGGGAUGGAGGCUGCGAGCCAUCCAGGUGUGUGUCUCCAGGAUGGGGAUGUGGGCAACGGGUGAUCCACUAGGCCCAAAGGGGGCAUGGAGGAACUAGCAGAGGGGUCUUCAGGGUCAUAAGGGAGAGGGUAACCUCGACACAGCACCAGGGUGACACUCUGGCCAAUGGGGACAGACUGGAAAAGCUUC
Long non-coding RNA from Onychostoma macrolepis, 812 nucleotides. RefSeq lists it as uncharacterized. The record is from RefSeq and is a predicted model, not a curated record. Lineage: Eukaryota; Metazoa; Chordata; Actinopteri; Cypriniformes; Cyprinidae. The transcript is spliced from 3 exons.